This 253-nucleotide ribosomal RNA is filed under the name uncultured bacterium. RNAcentral's name for it is "partial 16S ribosomal RNA". It matches the Rfam family "Bacterial small subunit ribosomal RNA", at positions 524 to 776 of the family's 1533-position model. The record is from RNAcentral.
UACGAAGGGGGCUAGCGUUGUUCGGAAUUACUGGGCGUAAAGCGCACGUAGGCGGAUAUUUAAGUCAGGGGUGACAUCCCGGGGCUCAACCCCGGAACUGCCUCUGAUACUGGGUAUCUUGAGUGUGGUAGAGGUAAGUGGAAUUGCGAGUGUAGAGGUGAAAUUCGUAGAUAUGCGGAAGAACACCAGUGGCGAAGGCGACUGACUGGACAAGUAUUGACGCUGAGGUGCGAAAGCGUGGGGAGCAAACAGC